This 101-nucleotide ribosomal RNA is filed under the name uncultured bacterium. Its description in RNAcentral is "partial 16S ribosomal RNA". The record is from RNAcentral.
UGUUCCUAGGUCUUGUACUCACCGCCCGUCAAGCAUGGAAGAUAGGGGCACUCGAAGUUCCACAACAAAGUGGACCUAAGGUGAAACUAUUGACUGGGACU